Molecule: non-coding RNA, 73 nt
Organism: Bos taurus (domestic cattle)
Lineage: Eukaryota; Metazoa; Chordata; Mammalia; Artiodactyla; Bovidae
Source: Rfam
UCCCUGGUGGUCUAGUGGUUAAGAUUCUGCACUUCCACUGCACGGGGCACAGGUUCAAUCCCUGGCCGGGGAA